RNAcentral lists this ribosomal RNA (510 nucleotides) under uncultured bacterium. RNAcentral describes it as "partial 16S ribosomal RNA". It matches the Rfam family "Bacterial small subunit ribosomal RNA", at positions 28 to 507 of the family's 1533-position model. The record is from RNAcentral.
GACGAACGCUGGCGGCGUGCUUAACACAUGCAAGUCGAACGAAGAGCGAUGGAAGCUUGCUUCUAUCGAUCUUAGUGGCGAACGGGUGAGUAACGCGUAAUCAACCUGCCCUUCAGAGGGGGACAACAGUUGGAAACGACUGCUAAUACCGCAUACGAUCUAAUCUCGGCAUCGAGGAUAGAUGAAAGGUGGCCUCUACAUGUAAGCUAUCACUGAAGGAGGGGAUUGCGUCUGAUUAGCUAGUUGGAGGGGUAACGGCCCACCAAGGCGAUGAUCAGUAGCCGGUCUGAGAGGAUGAACGGCCACAUUGGGACUGAGACACGGCCCAGACUCCUACGGGAGGCAGCAGUGGGGAAUCUUCCGCAAUGGACGAAAGUCUGACGGAGCAACGCCGCGUGAGUGAUGACGGCCUUCGGGUUGUAAAGCUCUGUUAAUCGGGACGAAAGGCCUUCUUGCGAAUAGUGAGAAGGAUUGACGGUACCGGAAUAGAAAGCCACGGCUAACUACGUG